Molecule: ribosomal RNA, 253 nt
Filed under: uncultured bacterium
Lineage: Bacteria
Description: partial 16S ribosomal RNA
Rfam family: Bacterial small subunit ribosomal RNA
Source: RNAcentral
GACAGAGGGUGCAAACGUUGUUCGGAAUUACUGGGCGUAAAGCGAGUGUAGGCGGUUUGGUAAGUCGGAUGUGAAAGCCCUGGGCUCAACCCAGGAAGUGCAUUCGAUACUGUCAAGCUAGAGUAUCGGAGAGGUUGGUGGAAUUCUCGGUGUAGAGGUGAAAUUCGUAGAUAUCGAGAGGAACACCGGUGGCGAAGGCGGCCUUCUGGACAGUGACUGACGCUGAGACGCGAAAGCGUGGGGAGCAAACAGG